GCCGCCUUAGCUCAGUCGGUAGAGCGGUUCACUCGUAAUGAACAGGUCGACAGUUCGAUUCUGUCAGGCGGCU
This 73-nucleotide transfer RNA is filed under the name Myceligenerans xiligouense. It matches the Rfam family "tRNA". Rfam says of the family: Transfer RNA (tRNA) molecules are approximately 80 nucleotides in length. Their secondary structure includes four short double-helical elements and three loops (D, anti-codon, and T loops). The record is from Rfam by way of RNAcentral. RNAcentral also lists the same sequence under 2 other names. Lineage: Bacteria; Bacillati; Actinomycetota; Actinomycetes; Micrococcales; Promicromonosporaceae.